AUGCCAGGAAAAAGUGCAUUUCAUCUCCAGAAUGCUCUCCACUCAAACCACAAACUGCAAGAAAAAGGAAAGUCAAAGGUGAAAAAACUCUUCCAUGAGGCAGAUUCAGAAGUCUCUCAAUCGGAAAUUUUGCGGAAGGCGAAGUCAGAAAAAAUUGUAGAAAAAGAUUCUCUACCACCCACGUCGGUUCUACCCAACAGCACCAAUAAGGAACUGUCGCUUGAUGUAAGUAAACUUAAUGAAAAGUCCAAAUCAUAUCAAGACCAGGAGAAUACAAUCGGUGCAUCACAAGAAAAAAUAAAAGAAACCUCUCAGUUUUCGCCACCAAAAAAGAAGACAAAAUCAAAAAGUAAAUCUGAUCCUAAAAGCAGCACAAUGCCAAAAGUAAAAUUAAGCCCUAAAAAACGCAGCAAGAAGAAAAACAUAACGAUCUCUCCGGCUAAGUUAUCUCCUGCACCUUCUUGCUCCAUUAAUGAGCCCAGUGCCAGCUCAAAAAUCAGUUCUUCGUCCACAGACUGCUCUCCAGUUAAACCAGUGUUAGCAAUUGACAAGAAAAUGGAGGGAGAAAUAUUCUCUCCUGAGGCAGAUUCAAAAGCCAACCAAUCGAAAAAUGCGCAGAAGGUCAAGUCCGAAAAAAUUUCAGAAACUGAUGCUCAAACGCCCAUAUCUAUUCAACCCAAUAGCUUCAAUGAUGAUGUGUUGCUUGAUGAAGGUAAAAUUAUCGAAAAGUUAAAAUUAGACCAAAAUAACGCAUCACAGGAAAAAUCAGAAGAGACCGGCCAGCCCAUGGAGCAAUCGGAAAGCAGCCCUGAGAAAUCUAACCCGAAAACCAGAGUAAUGUCAGAAGUCAAACUAAGUCCAAAUAAAUGCGGGGAUCAGAAAACCAUGCAGAUUUUUACAAUGAAGAUACCUCCUGAACCCUCUAGCUCCGUCACUAAACCAAAUGUCAGCCCAACAAAAAGCUUUUCACCUCCAGAACUAUCUCUAAAAGAACUUGCUGCAAAAGAAAGAAAAACAGAAGGUGAAAAUUUCUCUUGCAAGACAGAUGCAGAAAUCAGCCCAGUUUUACCAAAACUCUCACCUCAUAAACCAAAGACAUCAGAGAAAGGUAAGAAUUAUGAUAAGUUUCUUGAUGCAGCUAAAGCUAUUGAAAAGCCCAAAUCGGGUCAAGAUGCAGGGAAUGCAAUCUGUGCAAUACAGGAAAAAUCAAGAGGGACACAACAGUUUUCGGAGCCAAAAAAGCAGACUGAAUCAAAAUGCAGCCCUACUAAGUCUUAUCCUGAAACUAGCACAAUGCCAAAAGCCAAACUAAACCCCAACAAACGGGACGGUGUGAAAAACAUGAAGAUUUCACCGAUGAUUGUAUCUCCUGCACCUUCUAGCUCUGAUAGUAAGCCAAAUGCCAGCACGAUCUCCAGCUUUUCAUCUCCUGUUAGACCACUGUCAGCGAAAGAAAAAGAAAGGGAAGGAGAAAAAUUUUCCUGCAAGAAAAAUUUAGAAGUCAGUCCGUUACUACCCAAAUUCUCACAUCAUGGACCAAAUUCAAUGAAGCCUGUGAUUAAUAUUCUAGCUGAUGAAGACAUUAAAAAAAGUUGCAGUUCCACUUUGCCUUCCUCUUCCUCAAACGGUUCGGAGCAGGCUGCUGCAACAACUGAAAAUCAGGCCACUCAAGAUAAUUUCCCUGUGGCAAAGUUCUCCUCCCCAGAAAUAUUGAACAUUUUACAGAGGGCAGAGUCAGAAAUACUCCCGAAAGCUGAUUCGUCAAUUCGUAGGUCUAUUUCAUCCAAUAGAGGUGACGACGAUUUGUUGCUUAAUGCAGGUAAAUUCAUCGAUAAAUCCAAAUCAGACCAAGACCAGAUGAAUGUAAUCUGUGCAUCUCAGAAAAAAUCAGAACAAACCUGUCAGUUUUCAGAGCCAUCUGUCAGCACCAACAAAAGAGAGGAAAGUAUUAUCUACACACCAAAAGAGUCCCUCCAAAAUAUCAUUUAUGUCUCAAGUGACGAAAACUCCCUUCCCUUUAAAAGUGAUGUAGAUCACAAAGCCAACGAAGAAUUUUUGAAAAACUACGGUUUUUGUGUUGAGUAUGAGAUUGAUGACGGGCUGAUAACUAUUUCAACAAAUACAGUAACUGAAGAGUCUGUACUGCUCAGUAUUCCAUCAGCGCAUGAUGACAUGACAACAGAUAUUAUUAAAGAUGUUUACAGAAAGAAAGCGAAUCAAGAAAGAGAUGAUGGAGCUACUCAAAUUCUCAAGAUGGGGCAUGCCUCUGAUCAAUCACUGUGUGCCGAAAAAGAGGACCGAAGUUCUAGGUCCUCUGAAAGUAAGUAUGGACAAGACAAAUAUCAAUUUCACACCCAUGGUAGAGAAAAAUGGAAAAAACAAAAAUCUUUACCCUACAGCGGGCCUGACCAAAAAGGACCCCAUGAAAGACUGAAACACAAGAGCCGAUCCCCAGUUCGAGAAGCUUCGCGCCAGCCUGACCAAAAUGGACCUCAUGAAAGACUGAAACACAAGAGCCGAUCCCAGUUCGAGGAGCUUGGCGCGAGCCUGACCAAAAAGGACCUCAUGAAAGACUGA
RNAcentral lists this long non-coding RNA (2577 nucleotides) under Bemisia tabaci. Its description in RNAcentral is "lncRNA ENSASIAIIG001414". The record is from RNAcentral. Lineage: Eukaryota; Metazoa; Arthropoda; Insecta; Hemiptera; Aleyrodidae.